AGUCUGCAACUCGAGUGCAUGAAGCUGGAAUCGCUAGUAAUCGCGGAUCAGAAUGCCGCGGUGAAUACGUUCCCGGGUCUUGUACACACCGCCCGUCACACCAUGGGAGUCGGGAAUGCCCGAAGCCGGUGGCCCAAUCUGUAAAGAAGGGAGCCGUCGAAGGCAGGCCGGAUGACUGGGGUGAAGUCGUAACAAGGUACC
RNAcentral lists this ribosomal RNA (201 nucleotides) under uncultured bacterium. Its description in RNAcentral is "partial 16S ribosomal RNA". It matches the Rfam family "Bacterial small subunit ribosomal RNA", at positions 1302 to 1500 of the family's 1533-position model. The record is from RNAcentral.